RNAcentral lists this ribosomal RNA (497 nucleotides) under uncultured bacterium. RNAcentral's name for it is "partial 16S ribosomal RNA". It matches the Rfam family "Bacterial small subunit ribosomal RNA", at positions 28 to 507 of the family's 1533-position model. The record is from RNAcentral.
GACGAACGCUGGCGGCGUGCCUAAUACAUGCAAGUAGAACGCUGAAGAGAGGAGCUUGCUCUUCUUGGAUGAGUUGCGAACGGGUGAGUAACGCGUAGGUAACCUGCCUUGUAGCGGGGGAUAACUAUUGGAGACGAUAGCUAAUACCGCAUAACAAUGGAUGACACAUGUCAUUUAUUUGAAAGGGGCAAUUGCUCCACUACAGGAUGGACCUGCGUUGUAUUAGCUAGUAGGUGAGGUAAUGGCUCACCUAGGCGACGAUACAUAGCCGACCUGAGAGGGUGAUCGGCCACACUGGGACUGAGACACGGCCCAGACUCCUACGGGAGGCAGCAGUAGGGAAUCCUCGGCAAUGGGGGCAACCCUGACCGAGCAACGCCGCGUGAGUGAAGAAGGUUUUCGGAUCGUAAAGCUCUGUUGUAAGUCAAGAACGGGUGUGAGAGUGGAAAGUUCACACUGUGACGGUAGCUUACCAGAAAGGGACGGCUAACUACGUG